AGAACAUACCCCUGACUCCAUCCACUGACUUCUAUGAGGAAUUAGCCUUGGACUGUUCUGGUCAGCAGGUAGUUUCUCAAUGGACAGUAUUCUGAUUUCGCUUCUCUGGAAUAGGUGUAAGAAAUAAGGAGAAUGUCAAGUUGACUAAAGCAACCUGUUUACAUAAAUUGAUCUGGAAGAUAUAUGGGGGCCCUCAGCAUCAAUGACAGAACCAUCCCUCAGCCCCUCUAUUCUUCAGCUUUCCCUGGAGAAGCAGAGCAGAGAUGGUGCUUUCCUCCUGGAUGCAGGCUCUCAUCAUCAUGUAUAGCCCAGACUGGCCUGGAACUUGC
Molecule: non-coding RNA, 329 nt
Organism: Castor canadensis (American beaver)
Lineage: Eukaryota; Metazoa; Chordata; Mammalia; Rodentia; Castoridae
Source: RefSeq, a predicted model, not a curated record